UACGUAGGUGGCAAGCGUUGUCCGGAAUUAUUGGGCGUAAAGCGCGCGCAGGCGGUCCUUUAAGUCUGAUGUGAAAGCCCACGGCUCAACCGUGGAGGGUCAUUGGAAACUGGGGGACUUGAGUACAGAAGAGAAGAGUGGAAUUCCAUGUGUAGCGGUGAAAUGCGUAGAGAUGUGGAGGAACACCAGUGGCGAAGGCGACUCUUUGGUCUGUAACUGACGCUGAGGCGCGAAAGCGUUGGGAGCAAACAGG
This 253-nucleotide ribosomal RNA is filed under the name uncultured bacterium. RNAcentral describes it as "partial 16S ribosomal RNA". It matches the Rfam family "Bacterial small subunit ribosomal RNA", at positions 524 to 776 of the family's 1533-position model. The record is from RNAcentral.